Empidonax traillii (willow flycatcher) is the source of this 1610-nucleotide long non-coding RNA. RefSeq lists it as uncharacterized. The record is from RefSeq and is a predicted model, not a curated record. The transcript is spliced from 3 exons. Lineage: Eukaryota; Metazoa; Chordata; Aves; Passeriformes; Tyrannidae.
GAUCAAAAAUAACUAAAAAAAAAAAAAGUCAUUUUAAAAUGUUUUGCAAGGCAGGGUGUGAGAAGCGAUCUUUUCGUGCCUUCCCAGUGGGAAUCAAGGCUAUCUGUCUCUUGUAAAUUCAGGUCUGUACAGUAUCUGUAUGAAAAUAUGAAGGGAAAUGAGCUACUACCUGCUUACUGCAGCUGUUGAGGCAGUCUGGGGCAGCAGUUUCACUCAGGGACAAACGGUCCUACUAUAGCAAGAGGCAGACUCGAGGUAUUGUCCAGUUUACAGACACAGGCCAGACAUUUUUAAAAUUUGAAUCAGGAUAAUUAAACGCCGACAUUUCAUUUUGUUUCACUUGUCAUGUACUCAAAGUGGUGGCUAAGAAAGGUGUAGAGCACAGGUAAGUCAAGCAAUAAGCAAAACAAACCCUCAACCAGAAUAAGCACUGUCGCGCUGUCUCCACCCUGCAGAGAUGUUCCAGCAGCAGGAUCUUCCCACUAAGAGAAGCAGAGGAGAAGCAACGUGUCUGGUGCUUCAAGGCCUAGUGCACAGCGAUGACUGCCAGAGGCGGGAAAGUGGAUGAGCCAGCCAGCAAGAUAAUAUAUGGUCAGCCUAUUAGUAUUUCUGGAUAAAAUGAGAAGAGCACCUGUGACAGGAAAACUAAAGACAAAGAACACAUCAGAGAAAAGUCACCUAAGGAUGCAAAAUCUUAAGGAAAUCCUAAAUACAGGAAAAGAAGAAGUUAGAAAUGAAAACAUCUGACUGUUUUUGUCAUCUUAAACUACAAAAAAACACUGUCAUCUUUGCAGACACAACACAUGAGCCUGUAAGAUGUGGAUGUGAAGGAACAGAGACUACCCAAGCUUACCUGCAUGGAAACUGUGAAAUUGCCUGGAAAAUUUGGGGAAUACGGAGCCGAGCAUUUAUUAGGAAGAUUGUCACUGAUUCUGAGUAGAAACGAAGAAAGAGUUCCAUUCAAACUUAAGUGAAGAGAAAGAAUUCGGCAACUUCAGAAGUUUAUAUAGCAAUAUGGAGAAGCACAGAAAGGAGACAAACAGUUCAAAGUACAAUAUAACAGUGAAAAGUACUUUUUUUUUUUUUUUAAUUUAUAAUGCAUUUCCUUCAGUUGCCUGUGCUCAUCCUUUUUUGUUCAGCUUAAGACAUUUGUGCAAAAAAGCUUCUUUAACAUUUUGUGAACAAACACAAAAAUCGCUAGAUUUUUAUGUCUCCACAUGCACAUGGUUUUGUUCAAUUUAUUCAAGCACUCACACUCUCAGAAAGUAAGAACAAUUUUGUCCAGCAAGCAAGAACUACAGACAGGUCCCUGCUGAUUAACGGAUGCCUUUGAAGAACCUUUUUCUGGUGAAAACUUAUCAGUAGAAGAUGUGUUUGUUGGAUUCCUGACUGCAGCAUAUUUCUUUCUUGAACCACAGGAAGUAGGAUGAAGGGCAGAGGAGAUAGUGAUUUGGGAUAAACCUGGAGCACUGGGACUACAGUUCCAGCCCGAAGCCUAACUUGAAGGAGGGGAAAUGCGAGUCUCAUAAGGAACAGGAUGACAAAUCCUUCCUUCUUCUAAUGUAUGCCCAGAUUUGGAAUUUAGAAACACCAAUAAAGGCAAGCAGUAG